Molecule: long non-coding RNA, 367 nt
Organism: Zingiber officinale
Lineage: Eukaryota; Viridiplantae; Streptophyta; Magnoliopsida; Zingiberales; Zingiberaceae
Exons: 3
Source: RefSeq, a predicted model, not a curated record
GGUGGCAAGCUAAUGCCGAAAAGGCAAAAGCAAAUAGGAAUACAGAGCCAGGUGGCCCGAGCACCGGAACCGCUCGGCAUACGUCAGGAUCCAGAUCUAUUGUUGAGCAUACCAUUGAUCUGGAACGUGAGCUUGCCCGACAGCCUACAUGUAUGGAGAUUUUUCUGAAGACCCACAAGAAGAAGGAUGGGUCAUUUGUUGAUUCUCGAUCUCAAACUCUACAUCAAGAAAUGACAGAACGGGUGGCUCAGGCAUCUCAGCCAUCAGCAGAGGGUGGAGAGUCACAGUCUUUAUCCACCGACGAUCUAAAUGAGAUAUAUUAUGAUGUUGUCGGUGGAAGGACAAAAAACUCCACCCUCUACGGCCU